CUCUAAAUGAUAGGAGCAACGUUUGGGGGCUAUAAUGGGGUUUUUACUAAUUAAAAUAAUGUGGUUAGCUACUUUCGGAGAGUGGGUCAUGGAAGAAAUACUCUCGUCUGAUAGGAAGUGGAUUUAUUCGUUGUGCUAGUUGCGAGUAGACUUAACUACAUAUAGACUUAACAUGGGGAGAAGGAGAUGAUCAUUUGAUACCCCUUUGUAUAUAUACAUCAGAGUUUACAUAUAUAUAAACUAGUAAGUGGUAAGUAAAUAUAAUUUCAGAGUUGUGAUAUUUAGUUAGUUGUAUUCUUUUUUCCAGAAUCACUGGUAGAUAAGGCUUCACAACCAAAAUGCAGCAUUCAAAUGUAACCAAUGAACAGGAUAAUUGACAAGCAACAAGAGGUGUACUAUUAAUAUAAGUAAAGCAAUAGAAAUAAUGGAAAGAGCUCGCCUGAUCAAGGUGUUGCCAGCGUAUAUCUUUCUCCAAUGGAUAUUCUCUUCGUUCGAAACUUUGUAGAGAUCUGGUGUGUUCAUAAAUGAUCUUGAGAUUCUGUGGAAUCUCAGAGAACACUCGAAGCACCAAUUACUACAAGGCAAUUACAAACAAGAACUGAUUGAUGGGUACAGAAACUUAUAAUUUAACGGAUCUCAUGGAAGCACUAUUUCAAAAAUGUCAUAACAAUAAAUAAAUAAACAUCGAAGUUGUAUAUUUUUUUAUCUCUAGGUAAUUUAACGAAAAUCAUAAAAAAGGUAAAUUAACACG
Leptinotarsa decemlineata (Colorado potato beetle) is the source of this 751-nucleotide long non-coding RNA. The record is from RefSeq and is a predicted model, not a curated record. Lineage: Eukaryota; Metazoa; Arthropoda; Insecta; Coleoptera; Chrysomelidae.